CCUACGGGUGGCAGCAGUGAGGAAUAUUGCACAAUGGGCGAGAGCCUGAUGCAGCAACGCCGCGUGAGCGAGGAAUGCCUUCGGGUCGGAAAGCUCUGUCCUCAAGGGAGAUAAUGACGGUCCUUGAGGAGGAAGCCACGGCUAACUACGUGCCAGCAGCCGCGGUAAUACGUAGGGGGCUAGCGUUAACCGGAAUUACUGGGUGUAAAGGGUGCGUAGGGGGUUUUUUAAGUCAGAGGUGAAAGGCUACGGCUCAACCGUAGUAAGCCUUUGAAACUGGGGAACUUGAGUGCAGGAGAGGUGAGUGGAAUUCCUGGUGUAGCGGUGAAAUGCGUAGAUAGUAGGAGGAACACCAGUUGCGAAGGCGGCUCUCUGGACUGUAACUGACACUGAGGCACGAAAGCGUGGGGAGCAAACAGGAUUAGAUACCCGUGUAGUC
Molecule: ribosomal RNA, 439 nt
Filed under: uncultured bacterium
Lineage: Bacteria
Description: partial 16S ribosomal RNA
Rfam family: Bacterial small subunit ribosomal RNA
Source: RNAcentral